GGUUGUCAUGCCAAUGGCACUGCCCGGUAGCUAAAUGCGGAAGAGAUAAGUGCUGAAAGCAUCUAAGCACGAAACUUGCCCCGAGAUGAGUUCUCCCUGAGACUUUAAGUCUCCUGAAGGAACGUUAAAGACGAUGACGUUGAUAGGCCGGGUGUGUAAGCGCAGCGAUGCGUUGAGCUAACCGGUACUAAUGAACCGUGAGGCUUAACCUUAC
RNAcentral lists this ribosomal RNA (214 nucleotides) under Klebsiella pneumoniae subsp. pneumoniae KPNIH2. Its description in RNAcentral is "partial 23S ribosomal RNA". It matches the Rfam family "Bacterial large subunit ribosomal RNA", at positions 2719 to 2925 of the family's 2925-position model. The record is from RNAcentral. Lineage: Bacteria; Pseudomonadati; Pseudomonadota; Gammaproteobacteria; Enterobacterales; Enterobacteriaceae.